This 348-nucleotide ribosomal RNA is filed under the name Herpestes ichneumon (Egyptian mongoose). RNAcentral describes it as "partial 12S small subunit ribosomal RNA". It matches the Rfam family "Bacterial small subunit ribosomal RNA", at positions 796 to 1343 of the family's 1533-position model. The record is from RNAcentral. Lineage: Eukaryota; Metazoa; Chordata; Mammalia; Carnivora; Herpestidae.
UUAGCCCUAAACUUAGAUAGCUACUCAACAAAUCUAUCCGCCAGAGAACUACUAGCAAUAGCUUGAAACUCAAAGGACUUGGCGGUGCUUCACAUCCCUCUAGAGGAGCCUGUUCUAUAAUCGAUAAACCCCGAUAAACCUCACCACCUCUUGCUAAUACAGUCUAUAUACCGCCAUCUUCAGCAAACCCUCAAAAGGAACAACAGUAAGCAAAAGUAUCUUAACAUAAAAAAGUUAGGUCAAGGUGUAACCCAUGAGGUGGAAAGCAAUGGGCUACAUUUUCUACACAAGAAUACUCCACGAAAGUUUUUAUGAAACCAAAGACUAAAGGAGGAUUUAGCAGUAAGC